AGCCUGCGAGGGGGAGGCAAAUCCCAGAAAUAACGUCUCAGUUCGGAUUGGAGUCUGCAACCCGACUCCAUGAAGCUGGAUUCGCUAGUAAUCGCGCAUCAGCCACGCCGCGGUGAAUACGUUCCCGGGCCUUGUACACACCGCCCGUCAAGCCAUGGAAGCCGGGAGUGCCUGAAGUGCGUGAGCGCAAGCAGCGCCCUAAGGUAAAACCGGUGACUGGGGCUAAGUCGUAACAAGGUAAC
RNAcentral lists this ribosomal RNA (242 nucleotides) under uncultured bacterium. RNAcentral's name for it is "partial 16S ribosomal RNA". It matches the Rfam family "Bacterial small subunit ribosomal RNA", at positions 1252 to 1500 of the family's 1533-position model. The record is from RNAcentral.